UUUGCUUCCUUCAUUUCAAGAUGAAAGUUCCCAUUCAAUAUGCAUUUGGAGUUCAUCACCACCCUCAAGCAAUUUAAGGACACUGAAAAGCAAAGGAAACCACCAUCACUCCUAAUCCACAGACUCCAGAAGAAGAGAAAACCGAAACCAGCAGGAGGUUGCCAGCCCUAAACACUACAUUAAGCUUCCACUUCAGAACAGAUGUCUGGAUGGGGCAGCAAAAGUGGAGCAAUUCUGCCAGCCCAAACAUUUGUUAUCAAGGUUGCAAUCUUGGUCAUGCAAGCGGAAGAAAAAACAAGAUUGCCCAUCUUCUGCUGGCUGGGUUCGAACUUGGCCAUGGGAGCGGGAAAAGAGAAUAGAGAGGAAAAUGGACACUGGACUGAAGAGAUGGGAAGAGGAAGCAGCCCUCCAUCACAUCAUCCUCCCUUCAGGGAUAUAAGGGUUGUUUCAGGCCCCAGACAUUUCUAGGGAUGGAUCUUGGCUUCAAUUAAUGGCUGGCACAAACUGCUUUUUUCAAGCUAGCACAAAAGUCCGGAACAAAUAAGCUUCGAUAGACAUCUCCUCGUUAAUUUUGAGAAAGGGAACAAUUAACUUUUUUUCCAGCAUUUUUUUCUAAACUGGAAAUCUUACUGGAACUUGAGCCAAGUUUAAAACCAAGCUAACCUUUUCCUCGAAUCAAAAUUAGUCCCAUCAACCUAGUCAUAAUUAACAAGCAAAUGAGAAUUAAAUUAAUAAGUGACUCAGACUCUACUUUUAAUUUACACAUGGGAAGUCACCAAAGGACCUGCAACAAAACGCUAAAUUGUCCUUUUUGAAUCAGCCUUAACUCUUUUGUGGACUGCUGCAGGAGGCUCAGAACACACAAUAUCAAUCUUAUGUUUUAUGAUAUGAAGGUUAUCCAUAACAGUCAUAGUAAGUUAUCAUUGAACUUGACUGCCGUGAUUCAUCAUCCUCAAAAACUGCUAGGUACUAUUGAUAGAAAUCAGCUUUGGCUGCACAGACCAAGAAUAUUUUACAAAUGGAAUUUUCCCCUCUAGAUUGUAAGCUCCUUGUGGACAGGGAUUGU
Long non-coding RNA from Ornithorhynchus anatinus (platypus), 1066 nucleotides. RefSeq lists it as uncharacterized. The record is from RefSeq and is a predicted model, not a curated record. Lineage: Eukaryota; Metazoa; Chordata; Mammalia; Monotremata; Ornithorhynchidae. The transcript has 4 exons.